CCGUGCUAGGUGGGAAGGUAGCGGUGUCCUGUAACUCGCAAUCCGCUCUAGCGAGACUGAAUUCCUUUUUCGAGGCUGUCCGUAUUGUUUGGUCUGCCUUCUGCACGUAGUGUUGACGAUUGGGUCCUGCGCAAUGGAUACCCAUGAACCAUGUCAGGUCCGGAAGGAAGCAGCAUUAAGUGGUCAUAUCCAUGUGCCGCGGGGUUGCCUAAUCUGAGCUAACGACAGGAGUAACGCUUAUGUGCGGCUGUCAAGGAAAGGUGCACGG
RNAcentral lists this signal recognition particle RNA (268 nucleotides) under Lysinibacillus sphaericus. RNAcentral describes it as "signal recognition particle sRNA large type". It matches the Rfam family "Bacterial large signal recognition particle RNA". From Rfam's summary of the family: The signal recognition particle (SRP) is a universally conserved ribonucleoprotein involved in the co-translational targeting of proteins to membranes. Archaeal SRP consists of a 7S RNA and homologues of the eukaryotic SRP19 and SRP54 proteins. Lineage: Bacteria; Bacillati; Bacillota; Bacilli; Caryophanales; Bacillaceae. RNAcentral also lists the same sequence under 16 other names. The record is from RNAcentral.